GAGACUCUGUGCGCGUGCAUAUCAAUAAGCGGAGGAAAAGAAACUAACAAGGAUUCCCUUAGUAACGGCGAGUGAAGCGGGAAGAGCUCAAAUUUGAAAUCUUCAAGGUUUUACCUUGACGAAUUGUAGUUUAAAGAAGUGUUUUCUGUUGAAGUUUUGGUAAAAGUUCUUUGGAAUAGGACAUCAUAGAGGGUGAGAAUCCCGUAUUUGACCAUUAUUUUCAGCUUCGUGAUACACUUUCAAAGAGUCGGAUUGUUUGGGAAUGCAGUCCAAAAUGGGUGGUAAAUUUCAUCUAAAGCUAAAUAUUGGCGAGAGACCGAUAGCGAACAAGUACCGUGAGGGAAAGAUGAAAAGAACUUUGAAAAGAGAGUUAAACAGUACGUGAAAUUGUCAAAAGGGAAGCGUUUAACACCAGUGUUGUUUUCUGAAAAUCAACCUCUGUUAGCUUUAUGCAUGUUUGUUUAGACCUAAUCAGCUAUCUUGCAUGUUCUAUUGUUUGCAGUGGUGCACUUUUCAGUUUACAGGUCAACAUCAGUUUUUUUUACCGUAAAAAAGUUAAAGAAAGGUAGCUCAUGGCUCCGGUCGUGAGUGUUAUAGUCUUUUUCCUAUGCGGUAGGAGAGACUGAGGUCUGCAGUGUAGGCUAUUUGGCUAGAUACUCAGGUGCUAUGUGAUACCAUUUCAUAAACAACUUGUUGAUUAUGUUUUGUCUAUUGCAUACUCGCUUGUACUAUCAUACCUACGCUUAGGAUGUUGAGUCGUAGAGCACGCAG
RNAcentral lists this ribosomal RNA (771 nucleotides) under uncultured Neocallimastigales. Its description in RNAcentral is "partial large subunit ribosomal RNA". It matches the Rfam family "Eukaryotic large subunit ribosomal RNA", at positions 23 to 628 of the family's 3401-position model. Lineage: Eukaryota; Fungi; Neocallimastigomycota; Neocallimastigomycetes; Neocallimastigales. The record is from RNAcentral.